This is a long non-coding RNA of Pongo pygmaeus (Bornean orangutan), 300 nucleotides long. RefSeq lists it as uncharacterized. Lineage: Eukaryota; Metazoa; Chordata; Mammalia; Primates; Hominidae. The transcript has 4 exons. The record is from RefSeq and is a predicted model, not a curated record.
CGGGCACCUCCAUCUGUCCCCUCCCAUGCAGAUGUCCUGCAGAUCUACGCUGAGGCCCAAGGCAGCUCCUGCAGGGGCGCCCCUCCAGGGAGCUCUGACCAAGCAGACAUCCUGACGGUCUACUCAGCUGCAGAGGGCUAUGUGGCCUAUCGCGAUGACAAGGGCUCAGACUUUAUCCAGACACUGGUGGAGGUCCUCAGAGCCAAUCCCGAGAAAGACCUUCUGGAGCUGCUGACUGAGGUCAACAGGCGGGUGUGUGAGCAGGACGUGCUGGGCCCCGACUGCGAUGAGCUCCGCAAG